Molecule: long non-coding RNA, 200 nt
Filed under: Musa acuminata (dwarf banana)
Lineage: Eukaryota; Viridiplantae; Streptophyta; Magnoliopsida; Zingiberales; Musaceae
Description: long non-coding RNA (MACU_LNC001997)
Source: RNAcentral
UCGUACUAAACAGACCUCAAAAAUAUAAUGCUCUUUCGUAUCAAAUGGUAUGUGCAUUCCUUACUAUAAAUCUAAAUGAGCAAGGCUAGUAAAAGGUUUUCCAUAUGAAGAUUUUUAGUAAGAGAUAUUUAAGAAGGUUUGAAACUUGUUAACACUAUAGGUGUAGCAUUCGCAUUCAAUAAGAUAUGACAAACUUAAAU